UGGCGAACGGGUGAGUAACACAUGGGUGAUCUGCCCUGCACUUCGGGAUAAGCUUGGGAAACUGGGUCUAAUACCGGAUAGGAGCCAUCUUUAGUGUGGUGGUUGGAAAGUUUUUUCGGUGUAGGAUGAGCUCGCGGCCUAUCAGCUUGUUGGUGGGGUAAUGGCCUACCAAGGCGGCGACGGGUAGCCGGCCUGAGAGGGUGUACGGCCACAUUGGGACUGAGAUACGGCCCAG
RNAcentral lists this ribosomal RNA (235 nucleotides) under uncultured Actinomycetales bacterium. RNAcentral describes it as "partial 16S ribosomal RNA". It matches the Rfam family "Bacterial small subunit ribosomal RNA", at positions 96 to 334 of the family's 1533-position model. Lineage: Bacteria; Bacillati; Actinomycetota; Actinomycetes; Actinomycetales. The record is from RNAcentral.